This 1671-nucleotide long non-coding RNA is filed under the name Homo sapiens (human). RNAcentral's name for it is "HSALNT0326302". The record is from RNAcentral. Lineage: Eukaryota; Metazoa; Chordata; Mammalia; Primates; Hominidae.
GUACAAGUGCUGUGACAGAAAAACCGCCGGCUCCGCGCAGCGGCAAAAGAGCCAACGGGAACGCCGGGUGCUGCGACCAUGACCCCGGCACUGGAGGACGUGGGAUGGAGAAUGGGACACACGGAGCGAGAAGGGAAACGUUUCGUGCAGACCAACUAGCGCCGCCGCCACCGGAAAACUGACUCGCCAGUGCUGCCAAUGAAGUGCGUGUGAGAAACCGAUGACUGGUGGGAGGAGCAGCGCUGGGCGCUGGACCCGCGAGUGUGAGAAUCUGGCGGCGCUAGGACCCUUCAGGCGCGGGCACGAGGCGAAACCCAGCGCUGUUGCCAAAGACAAAUGCGCGUUCUUUUGGGCGCCAUCAGCGGUGCAGCCAGUGAUCACUCCCAGGCUCUGAGAAACUAGAGAUGUCAGCCACAAACCCUCCGUUCAGGGAAAGUUUGCGGCGCCGUGACGGAUCGACUGGCACUGGGUGCAACAUUGUCUUGUGGCCUAGAGACUAGAAUAUAAAAACAAAAACCAAAUACAAAACUGCUGCUGGCAUUACUCCUACUCUCCCCCCUCAAGUCAGUGGCUUCAGGCUUAAGAAAACCUGUAUUUUUCUUGGCUGUGCCAUAAUCCGUAAUUACCGAGGCCCCCAGCGACCCACCCAGUGUGAUUCGCAGAGGGAAAGGAGCUGGAAUAAGGACCGUGAAUGGGGCGGAUGUGGCUCGUCCUGGGAGAGAGCUAAAGCUUAUGCUGGUCGCAAACAGCAUUACAUUGCAGGAAACUGCUCUUCCAAUGGCCGUGGCUGGGUCCUUCCACACCAUCCCUCUGCCCUAGACCUUUGUCCCCGUUCAGAGCCAUCAGAGAUUCUAGGAGAGCUGUCGACAACCGCAUCUCUUCGGAACUUGGAAACUCUAGGUUCAAGAUCUCCGUGGAGAAUGAAAGGCACAGUCGCCUGACCCGGGCAUCAGGCUUGCCCCGCACAUCAAGUCCCUCCCCUACUGGAUGGAACUCUGUGGCAAUCGCUCCUUAUUCUGAUGGUUCACUCUGUCAGAUAUCCUCGAUAUUUGGGGAUAGUAGUUCAAAAACAGCCGGGGAGGAAAAUGGGCUGAAAGAUUCCAGCGUUGGAUGUAGAAUUGACAGCGAGACAUACACCUCCUCUCUAAGCCCAGAGAAAAGCUCAAGUUGUGGUUCUCUGUCUCUAGCAGCAUGAUCUUCAAAAUGCAUCAUUGAUUUCUAUCUUCUGGGAAAUGCAAUGCAGGUGAACUUGAGGAAAUCAGUGGUGCUUCAGGAUAUUGUGAAUUUGGUCUUCUGAAAGCAGAAUUCUGAUUUAACAGUAUAAUGGAAUUCGUGAACGUCAUGAUGCUAAUUUGAACCAACAAGCACCCUUGUGAGAGGAAUCUGCUUUUCCUCAAGUCUGAAGAACACCAGGAGAAUCUUUCUGUAUGGAGUUACCAGGAAUCCUCUGCUAAGGAAAGUGAAAGGGAAGAUGCAAUUUCUCCUGGGAAGGGGGGAUGCUGAUGUAGAGGGUGACAAGUAAUAUGCCAUGAAGGAUUCAGUCACCUGGUUAGAUUUAGAGUUAGAGUUAUGGUUAAGGAAGAAGGAAGGAAAAAAGGCAGAAGAGGAAGAAAGGAAGCAAGAAAAGAUAAAAUUUAUUCUAAGAUAAAAUUUGUGAAUUUUGCUAAACUA